Molecule: ribosomal RNA, 609 nt
Filed under: marine sediment metagenome
Description: LSU rRNA
Rfam family: Bacterial large subunit ribosomal RNA
Source: RNAcentral
CUAAGGUCCCCAAGAGCAGGCUAAGUGGGCAAGGAGGUAAGAUUGCCCAGACAGCCAGGAGGUUGGCUCAGAAGCAGCCAUCCUUUAAAGAGUGCGUAACAGCUCACUGGUUGAGUGGUCUUGCGCCGACAAUUUAACGGGGCUAAAGUCUGCCACCGAAGCUAUGGCUCUCUGAUUUUAUCAGGGAGGGUAGGGGAGCGUUCUCUUAGCCAUGAAGCUGCUAUGUGAAUAGUGGUGGAGUUAAGAGAAGUGAGAAUGCCGGCAUGAGUAGCGUAAGGUGUGUGAGAAACACACCCACCGAAUACCUAAGGUUUCCUACGGAAGGUUAAUCCGCGUAGGGUUAGUCGGGCCUAAGCCGAGGCCGAAAGGCGUAGGCGAUGGACAACGGGUUAUUAUUCCCGUACCGCUUCUGCGGAGGCAAAGGAGGGACACGGAAGGGUAGGCUAAGCGUGCCUAAUGGACAUGGUGCGUCCCCUACUAUAGGUGAUGCCGGGGCAGGUAAAUCCACCCCGGAUGUUAAGCUGAAGGUAGGGGGAAGUUUGAGGGGAAACUCAAGGCGACUUAGCUGAGCCCAGGCCGUCAAGAAAAUCUUCGUUGCCGGUGAAGCAG